Long non-coding RNA from Motacilla alba alba, 1521 nucleotides. RefSeq lists it as uncharacterized. NCBI's taxonomy places the organism in Eukaryota, Metazoa, Chordata, Aves, Passeriformes, Motacillidae. The record is from RefSeq and is a predicted model, not a curated record. The transcript is spliced from 2 exons.
CACUCACAGCUCUGGGGCAGCAGAGAGGGCAGCGUGGGGUUCAGCUGCUCGGAGCUUCCCCUGGAGCUGUCCCAGCAGAUCACGGGGCGUGUGGGGGCUCUGGGGCCACGCGCGCUUGGGCACCCAUGCAGGACACCCAGACCCCACUGCCACGGGGGGAUUUCACCCCGUGUUACCCUCAGCUGUCCCCUCAGUGUCCCCCACCGUGGCCACUCACACACAGCAGUGCUGCUCCCUCUUUCUCCAUGAGUUUAGGGGCCCACCAGGCAGCCUGAGAUCCCCACUGGGCUGUAGGCAGCUUUGAUUCCUUGGAGUCCUCUCAGGGAUGCCUCAGAGAGCACCUGAGCACCUCCUGGAAGCAGCCUGUCCCCUUUCCACGUGGCCUCUGGAAUUCCAGCUGUGCCUUUGGGAAUCAACCCUGGCAUAAAACGGGGAUGAACCAAGAGAGGGAAUUCUGUCCUGGCAGAGAUUAACCCUGGGGAGAACUCCCAGCUCCGGGGGAAUCCUUCCCCAGGGAGCUCUGAGAGCCUGAGGCAGCUCCGAAUGCUGUGAGUCCCAGCACCCCAGCCCUUUGCAGCUUUUCCCCAAGUCUCUGCUGCUCUCUGGAACUUCCAGCACCGAAUUAGCAGCGCAAUCAUGAGAAAAGGAAUCGCAGCCUUCUCCAAGCUGUCAAGUGCAUUUUGCUGGAUGAUUAAUUGGCAGAGCUCUGGCCAAGCCCUGGGUCCUGCUAAAGGCCAUGCCCUUGACUUGCACCUGCCACUGAUUGCAGAAAAUGGAUGUCUUCACUUCUCCCUUUUUUUCCUCCCAGGUUUUUUUUUUGGUGCAGCUGUUAAACUGCUUUAAGGAAAUCUUAUUUAUCUCGACCAGAAACUUGAACUUCUUCUCUAAUCUCAGGAGGCUGAAAUGAGUGUAAUUCUCUGCCUCAGCCUGACUUAUGGAAGCAAUAUUUUAGGAUCUUUAGGAAAGCUGUGAUAAUUGGACAUGAUUUUUGCUCCUUUUCUAGGAGCUGGGAUGUUCCUGUGCUUUGUGGCCCCCACGGGGUGCUGGAGUGGGAUCUGCAAAGGGUGCUUUGGAAUUAACAGCGUGGAAAUCUCCCCCCCCACACACGCAGCGGUCACCGGAGCUGUGAGCUGGGAGGGAUUUUAAGGAUCAUCUUCCACUGGAGAUGGCCCUGGAAUGCCGGGAACGUCACUCACUCCCCUGGGACACCGCAGGUCCCGUCCCCUCCCUCCCCAGGGCUCCGGGAAGCGCGCGGGGGAAACUGAUGGAGGAUCGCGAGUCGAACAAAUUGAGUGUGACAGGAAAAAAAAGCCAAGUCUUGACUGGAUUUGCUUGCCGGGAAUGACACGAAGUCAAGUAUCUUAUUAAGUUCAAGAGAAUUACAUUUUCCAUGCUCCAGCGAGAGACACGGGCCCUUUGGAAAAUCAUAAUGAACGGCUUUCUGCCGCCCUCAUUUACAUACCUUUGAUAAAUGGCUGUAACCAGAUUAGGGAGAUAAAAUAAGCAGUCUAUUAAUUACAA